This 245-nucleotide ribosomal RNA is filed under the name uncultured bacterium. Its description in RNAcentral is "partial 16S ribosomal RNA". It matches the Rfam family "Bacterial small subunit ribosomal RNA", at positions 524 to 768 of the family's 1533-position model. The record is from RNAcentral.
UACGUAGGGGGCAAGCGUUGUCCGGAGUUACUGGGCGUAAAGGGCCCGCAGGCGGUUCGGCGCGUUUCCGGUGCCAGCCCCGUGCUUAACGCGGGGAGUGCCGGGAAGACGGUCGGACUGGAGGGCCUCAGAGGGACAUAGAAUUCCGGGUGGAGUGGUGAAAUGCGUAGAGAUCCGGAGGAAUACCAAAGGCGAAGGCAGUGUCCUGGGAGGCGCCUGACGCUGAGGGGCGAAAGCCAGGGGAG